CGGACGGGGUGAGUAACGCGUGAGAAUCUGGCUCUAGGUCGGGGACAACCACUGGAAACGGUGGCUAAUACCGGAUGUGCCGAGAGGUGAAAGGCUUGCUGCCUAGAGAUGAGCUCGCGACUGAUUAGCUAGUAGGUGUGGUAAGAGCGCACCUAGGGACGAUCAGUAGCUGGUCUGAGAGGAUGAUCAGCCACACUGGGACUGAGACACGGCCCAGACUCCUACGGGAGGCAGCAGUGGGGAAUUUUCCGCAAUGGGCGAAAGCCUGACGGAGCAAUACCGCGUGAGGGAGGAAGGCUCUUGGGUUGUAAACCUCUUUUCUCAAGGAAUAAAUCAAUGAAGGUACUUGAGGAAUAAGCAUCGGCUAACUCCGUGCCAGCAGCCGCGGUAAUACGGAGGAUGCAAGCGUUAUCCGGAAUGAUUGGGCGUAAAGAGUCCGUAGGUGGUUGUGAAAGUCUGCUGUCAAAGCGUGCGGCUUAACCGCAUAAAGGCAGUGGAAACUACACAGCUAGAGUGCGUUCGGGGCAGAAGGAAUUCCUGGUGUAGCGGUGAAAUGCGUAGAGUCAGGAAGAACACCGGUGGCGAAAGCGUUCUGCUAGGCCGCAACUGACACUGAGGGACGAAAGCUAGGGGAGCGAAUGGGAUUAGAUACCCCGGAAGUCACGCGUUACUC
This 673-nucleotide ribosomal RNA is filed under the name Nostoc sp. PUPCCC 405.3/1. RNAcentral's name for it is "bacterial SSU rRNA". It matches the Rfam family "Bacterial small subunit ribosomal RNA", at positions 99 to 807 of the family's 1533-position model. Lineage: Bacteria; Bacillati; Cyanobacteriota; Cyanophyceae; Nostocales; Nostocaceae. The record is from RNAcentral.